CGCAAAGGUUUCAAUGUGAAAAAAGAUAAACCUAGAGAAAUAAAUAAUAUGUACCGUAUGUGUUUCUGUUCUAGUCUUAAUCAUUCUACAUAUUCUUACAUCUUGAAAUUUUGAGCACUGGAGCCACAUAACGUGAAUAGGGUGAAAAAAAAGAUGAGAAAAGGCAACCAUGGAAUGGGAGACCCCGGCCACAAGGACCUCUGUUGCUUGCACAUUCCUGAUAGUCUAUCACCUGGCU
This 238-nucleotide long non-coding RNA is filed under the name Felis catus (domestic cat). RNAcentral describes it as "lncRNA (ENSFCAG00000052998.1)". The record is from RNAcentral. Lineage: Eukaryota; Metazoa; Chordata; Mammalia; Carnivora; Felidae.